AUUGAACGCUGGCGGCAUGCUUUACACAUGCAAGUCGAACGGUAACAGGGUGCUUGCACCGCUGACGAGUGGCGAACGGGUGAGUAAUGCGUCGGAACGUGCCGAGUAGUGGGGGAUAACGCAGCGAAAGUUGUGCUAAUACCGCAUACGUACUGAGGUAGAAAGUGGGGGACCUUCGGGCCUCACGCUAUUCGAGCGGCCGACGUCUGAUUAGCUAGUAGGUGAGGUAAAGGCUCACCUAGGCGACGAUCAGUAGCGGGUCUGAGAGGAUGAUCCACCACACUGGGACUGAGACACGGCCCAGACUCCUACGGGAGGCAGCAGUGGGGAAUUUUGGACAAUGGGCGAAAGCCUGAUCCAGCCAUGCCGCGUGUCUGAAGAAGGCCUUCGGGUUGUGAAGGACUUUUGUCAGGGAGGAAAUCCCUAGUGCUAAUAACACUGGGGGAUGACAGUACCUGAAGAAUAAGCACCGGCUAACUACGUGCCAGCAGCCGCGGUAA
This 500-nucleotide ribosomal RNA is filed under the name uncultured bacterium. RNAcentral's name for it is "partial 16S ribosomal RNA". It matches the Rfam family "Bacterial small subunit ribosomal RNA", at positions 30 to 523 of the family's 1533-position model. The record is from RNAcentral.